Non-coding RNA from Parasteatoda tepidariorum (common house spider), 616 nucleotides. NCBI's taxonomy places the organism in Eukaryota, Metazoa, Arthropoda, Arachnida, Araneae, Theridiidae. The record is from RefSeq and is a predicted model, not a curated record.
GGAACUAGAGGAUGAACUUAAAAAGCUUCAACCUUCUAAUAGAUGCCUCAAGUUCUUCUUCUAGAAACGAAAUCAAGUACGAAAUCGAUGUUUUGGAAGAAUCUUAGGCUAAUAUAGAAAAGAAAAUUGGAUCUGCUGGACAGAGCCGUGGCAUUUGAAGUUGAAGCAAAAGAAAUUCUUAAUGAUGAUAAAACAGAUUCUAAAAAAGUGGAAAAAUUUUUGGAAGCUGGACUUAAUUUGGAUAUUGAUAUUCCCGAGAUCCUGCAACUAAAACAAAGGCUUUACCAGAAGAGGUGGUUAGAAGAAGUGAAUGGUUCCCUGUUACACCCAGAGAUGGUUACGCUAGAUAUGUUACGCAAACUCCUUGAUAACGAAUCAACAUACCUCCUGAUCAUACCAUAGAAAAAGUAAUGGCUGAACUCCAAGAACUCCUGACUUUUGGAGAAAAGUGGGAAGAAAAAGCAAAAAUGUGCCUGCGAGCUAAGCCUAAACACUCCUUACAAGUUCUGGAACAAGUGGUUAAGGAAGCAGGAAAUAUAUAUCAAUUCAUCUUCCUAAUGUCAUGCAAUUGGCUGAUGCUGUCAGAAAAGCAAAGGACUGGAUUGCAAGGGUGAGA